UACGUAGGGUGCGAGCGUUGUCCGGAAUUAUUGGGCGUAAAGAGCUCGUAGGCGGUGUGUCACGUCGUUCGUGAAAACCUGCAGCUUAACUGUGGGCGUGCGGUCGAUACGGGCAUCACUGGAGUUCGGUAGGGGAGACUGGAAUUCCUGGUGUAGCGGUGAAAUGCGCAGAUAUCAGGAGGAACACCGGUGGCGAAGGCGGGUCUCUGGGCCGAUAUUGACGCUGAGGAGCGAAAGCGUGGGGAGCGAACAGG
This 254-nucleotide ribosomal RNA is filed under the name uncultured bacterium. RNAcentral describes it as "partial 16S ribosomal RNA". It matches the Rfam family "Bacterial small subunit ribosomal RNA", at positions 524 to 776 of the family's 1533-position model. The record is from RNAcentral.